GACUUCUAUUUCUAGGGUUUUACUUGCACAUGCACAGACGUAAAAAUACAAAUAAUAUAGGUAAAAGACUGGAUAUUUGCCAGUUAAAAUCUCGGAAAAUACUGUACAUGUUAGUCUGAUACCUGACCAUUGAAUAAAGUUGAUAAAAUCGGAUUGUGAAAUCAUCAGAUAUAUUGGUGAUAUCCAUGUAUUGGAAAACGUCCUGUUAGUAAACGCACUGAAAAACUAUUUCUAAAAAAAAAAAAAGAGCACAAAAUUGCACACAAAAAAUAAAAGUCAGUGAUACUGUGAAAGGUGAACCACGAUAUAGCGAGUGACCACUGUGCACAAAAUCAGAACAUUUGUUGUUGUUUGGGUACAGUUUAGUUCUUUUAUCUUGAUUGACAUUAGUAUUUAUUUUGUUUUUCUUGACUUUAACUGGACAAUACAUCGUUACAGAUUGAUCCGUGUGAAGGAGACCUCUCUGACGAAAGAUUGUUAGAUCACACCUACUCGGGGACAGAGGAGGACACUUUUCAGGCGUCCAUGAUCGCUCUGCACGGGAGCGUCUGCAGCGCUGACCUGGAUUAUCUGCAAUCAUCCACACCCAAGCUGACGGCUCGCCUGAACGUGCUGAACGAACAUCCAGGCUUGACAGACGACACUCUAGUGUUUCCUCCAGACAAUCCAGACUCCUACAGUCCUGCCAGCUCGACCGCUCACAUCCCCCCCAUUAGUGCCAUCCUAAGUAGCUCUAAUCAAUAUUUGGCUCAAUCUCAGAGCAAAGAAGAACAACCAGAGCCUUCAAACCUAUACAGCACUUUAGCUGAAAUAGAGGGCAGAUCUAUAGACCAGGAAGCAUCUAUGGAUCCUCUUCAGUACCUCAAGGAGCCUACCAUCUCUAUUGGAGAUGGUGGAAAUGUGCUGAGAUUGAAGGUAAGAAAAAAAUGGAUCAUUUUGAUUAUUUAGUGUAACUAAGGGAUGAAAAGUCACUCACAUUCAACCUGCUGUUUUUGUAUCUGUAGAGACAAAACUGUUUAGAAACCCAUCUUGUUGUUUCAUUCACUGUCAUGGCUAAAUGUGUUGAAUUAUCCCCCCAAAGGACGACGAGGCCAGCGAGAAAGAACCUGCAGAACUCGGGUUGACCUCGGGGAGCAAUUUUGAAAGGACUAUCACAGUCGUCAAGGGCAACUCCAGCCUUGGUUUGUUCUUAUUUCUCAACAGAUUCUUGUUUAUUCUUUUUCAUUUUCUUUUGCCGAGGUGUUAAUGAGGCUUCCAGAUUGAAAGGCUCUGUUUUUGGCCUU
This 1283-nucleotide long non-coding RNA is filed under the name Oryzias javanicus (javanese ricefish). RNAcentral's name for it is "lncRNA (ENSOJAG00000023131.1)". The record is from RNAcentral. Lineage: Eukaryota; Metazoa; Chordata; Actinopteri; Beloniformes; Adrianichthyidae.